This 503-nucleotide ribosomal RNA is filed under the name uncultured bacterium. RNAcentral's name for it is "partial 16S ribosomal RNA". It matches the Rfam family "Bacterial small subunit ribosomal RNA", at positions 30 to 523 of the family's 1533-position model. The record is from RNAcentral.
AUUGAACGCUGGCGGCAGGCUUAACACAUGCAAGUCGAGCGGGGUGAUGGUGCUCGCACUAUCACUUAGCGGCGGACGGGUGAGUAAUGCUUAGGAAUCUGCCUAUUAGUGGGGGACAACAUCUCGAAAGGGAUGCUAAUACCGCAUACGUCCUACGGGAGAAAGCAGGGGAUCACUUGUGACCUUGCGCUAAUAGAUGAGCCUAAGUCGGAUUAGCUAGUUGGUGGGGUAAAGGCCUACCAAGGCGACGAUCUGUAGCGGGUCUGAGAGGAUGAUCCGCCACACUGGGACUGAGACACGGCCCAGACUCCUACGGGAGGCAGCAGUGGGGAAUAUUGGACAAUGGGGGGAACCCUGAUCCAGCCAUGCCGCGUGUGUGAAGAAGGCCUUAUGGUUGUAAAGCACUUUAAGCGAGGAGGAGGCUCUUUUGGUUAAUACCCAAGAUGAGUGGACGUUACUCGCAGAAUAGGCACCGGCUAACUCUGUGCCAGCCGCCGCAGUAA